This 577-nucleotide ribosomal RNA is filed under the name Porphyromonadaceae bacterium. Its description in RNAcentral is "partial 23S ribosomal RNA". It matches the Rfam family "Bacterial large subunit ribosomal RNA", at positions 61 to 692 of the family's 2925-position model. Lineage: Bacteria; Pseudomonadati; Bacteroidota; Bacteroidia; Bacteroidales; Porphyromonadaceae. The record is from RNAcentral.
GUAAGCUGCGAUAAGCUACGGAGAGGUGCAAGCAACCUUUGACCCGUAGAUUUCCGAAUGGGGGAACCCGGCAGUGGUUAUGCACUGUCACCCAUAGCUUAGACUAUGAGGAGGGCACCCGGGGAACUGAAACAUCUAAUUACCCGGAGGAAAAGUAAUCAAACGAGAUUUUCUUAGUAGCGGCGAGCGAACGGGAAAGAGGCCAAACCGGAGCGGGCAACCGCACCGGGGUUGAGGACAGUCAUCAAGUGAAAGCCCUGUAAUCGAAACCUUGCAUACAUGGGACUGUAUCCAGAGUACCACGAGACACGUGAAACCUUGUGGGAAGCAGGGGGGACCACCCUCCAAGCCAAAAUACUGAUAUCGACCGAUAGCGCAUAGUACCGUGAGGGAAAGGUGAAAAGAACCCCUGGCGGGGAGUGAAAGAGAACCUGAAACCGUAUGUCUACAAACAGUCGAAGUCUGUAUAUAUAUCAGGACGACGGCGUGCCUAUUGAAGAAUGAACCGACGAGUUACUGUUGCUAGCGAGGUUAAGUGGAAAACAUGGAGCCGCAGCGAAAGCGAGUCUGAACAGGG